This 1676-nucleotide unclassified non-coding RNA is filed under the name Hevea brasiliensis (rubber tree). Lineage: Eukaryota; Viridiplantae; Streptophyta; Magnoliopsida; Malpighiales; Euphorbiaceae. The record is from RNAcentral.
AAAGGUACUACUAGCAAUAAUAAUACUGGAGGAAGUAGUCCACUAGCUGUACGGGAGCCUCAAAUGUGUCAUGAUGAUACAUUAUUUCUCACUAUCUACUUGUGUUUUUGGUCAAAGAAUUACUUCUGCUUAACUAGAGAACGUCAUACGCACUAACGUGCAAGUUGACGCGGGGGCCUCCUAAAAAGGUUGAAGAACAAAAGGCAUAAAAGUAAAAAUAAAGAGGGUGGGUGGUGUACAAGUUGCAUCUUCUGAAGCAGCUUCUUGCCCCACGCCAAUUUAUCAUCUUGAUUCUGUAAUGUCAACUAAUCACCAGAGACAUAACUUUUUCCCUCGUAGUACCUCUUCUCACUAGCUGCUUUCUUCUCAUUUCGCUUCUGGUAAGCCUCAUGAUUUGACACAAUUCUCCUUAUUAUUGUGCUUGUUGUAAUAUCUAAAGGACUAUCCAAUACUUGAAAAAUGCCCAUGCUAAUCGGUACAGCAUAGGGGUUACCCGUCUCCUUCUGAAAAUCAUUGUCCUCAGCUACUGUUCCAUGAACAACUAAAGAGAUAUUAAAUGUUGUUAUCAUAUCUUUUGACACCUCCCCUGGAGCACCAAUAAUCACUUCAUCAGCAUAGCGACAAGCCAAAACACUUAGGCUCCUUUCAUGAAGAUUCAUAAUGGGACGGUGUCCACCUCUAUUGGCACUUACAGUUUGAUCAGUAUGAAUGCCUACUAGUAGAAAGUCUCCAAGUCCUCGAGCAAGCCUUAAUAUCUCUACAUGUCCAGCAUGGAAAAGAUCAAAGGCGCCAUCAAUAUAGACUAUGCGAGCAUCAGGUCCAGCUCCCUUCGAAUUUGAAAAUUGUACAAUUCUACGAGACGUAGGAAGAAAAUGAGAUACGCGUGUAUCGCUCCCAGCACCACCGUCGUCAGAUUUUUGGCUGUGACCAUGGCUAAAUUGUCUCUGCAAGGAGGCAUGACUGGGGGAGUCAACAGUGGUCCUCUCUCUCACACAAAGAAGCAUUCGACCAACAAUAUCAGUGCUUGAAACUCCUUCUGUGCGCUUGAUCUGCUUAUAGCGACCAACCUUCUUAGCAAGGGCAUAAGCAUCAGUUCCAUCAGGAAGAAGACAAGGGUCAUCCCCAUGAAUAAUAUAGUCUAUGUUAUACUCAUCAAAUAGUUUCCUCAUAAAUUCUUCAGUAAUGGCAUAGGGGGCAUCGGAGAUGACUUCAUCCACCCACUUCACAGCACCAACCAUAAUCAUCCUCUCAUGAAGAGGAGUGACAGGAGGGCCUUUAUUCGCUAUAAUUUCCGCAUCGCUUACAACUCCAACAACCAAUUGGUCACCAAGAGCCCUAGCUUGUCGAAGAGCAUUACAAUGACCAUAAUGCAUCAUAUCAAAACAACCAUCCAUAUACACCCUUAUAGGUCUCUUCUUCUUCUUCGGCAAAACAAAUCUCAACCCAAGCACAGAUAACCCUAACACCGCUCCUCCAACAAUCCAUGUCGCAACGAACCGCGAACUCUGUUGCACAUUCUCCGGUCGUCCUCCUCCCUCUGAACCCAUUAUUCCAAAAAUUCCUAAAUUAUUAGUCCCUAACCUAACAAGAAGCCUGCCAACAUCCUCUAAUAACGCUAAUGAAUCAGACAGUUUUCUCCAGAAUCUAUGAGUUCCAUUCUAGACGAAAGCGCAAAA